Acanthosepion pharaonis is the source of this 112-nucleotide non-coding RNA. The record is from the annotation of a GenBank genome assembly. Lineage: Eukaryota; Metazoa; Mollusca; Cephalopoda; Sepiida; Sepiidae.
AUGGCCAUAUCAUGUUGAAAUACUGUUUCUCAUACAAUCACUGAAGGUAAGCAAGGUCAAGCUUGGUCAGUACCUAGAUGGGUGACUGCUUGGGAAUACCAUGUGCUGUAAG